Molecule: ribosomal RNA, 460 nt
Filed under: uncultured bacterium
Lineage: Bacteria
Description: partial 16S ribosomal RNA
Rfam family: Bacterial small subunit ribosomal RNA
Source: RNAcentral
CCUACGGGCGGCAGCAGUGAGGAAUAUUGGUCAAUGGGCGCGAGCCUGAACCAGCCAAGUAGCGUGAAGGAUGAAUGCCCUACGGGUUGUAAACUUCUUUUAUAAAGGAAUAAAGUGAGGCACGUGUGCCUUUUUGUAUGUACUUUAUGAAUAAGGAUCGGCUAACUCCGUGCCAGCAGCGGCGGUAAUACGGAGGAUCCGAGCGUUAUCCGGAUUUAUUGGGUUUAAAGGGAGCGUAGAUGGGUUGGUAAGUCAGUUGUGAAAGUUUGCGGCUCAACCGUAAAAUUGCAAUUGCUACUGGCAGCCUUGAGUACAGGUGAGGUAGGCGGAAUUCGUGGUGUAGCGGUGAAAUGCUUAGAUAUCACGAAGAACUCCGAUUGCGAAGGCAGCUUACUAGACUGCCACUGACAUUGAUGCUCGAAAGUGUGGGUAUCAAACAGGAUUAGAUACCCCUGUAGUC